Molecule: non-coding RNA, 569 nt
Organism: Paramormyrops kingsleyae
Lineage: Eukaryota; Metazoa; Chordata; Actinopteri; Osteoglossiformes; Mormyridae
Source: RefSeq, a predicted model, not a curated record
GUAACCGCAUUUACUUAUAUUUUAAGUCUUAAAUGGCAGUUUUAAAUAUGUAUGGAUUGUUCGAUUUUUUUGAGGAAAAUACUCUAAGUGUCGGACCCUUAAGUUCAGUUAAUUUAACUGGCACUGGAAUGACCACAAAUGAACUGAACCCGAAAGACUGGAAUGUGGAGAAGGAGGUAUUGGUGCGGUGGGGAAAGUACCUUUACCCGGCCAAAAUACUGGACAUUUCAGAAAAUGAGCAAAUGCUCUCAGAUAAAAGAGAGGACCUUAUAAAGGGCUCAGCUGCCAAUGAGGAGUGUGGCAGAGGGAGGCGGAAGAAAAAACCUGUCCAGUAUUCCUCGGAUGAUGAGCAAUGUGAGAUGCCAAAGAGAAAAAAGACUGAAAAGAAAGCUGUGCAUCCAGCGCAAAUUGAAAAACUUCUCCAACAAAGAAAGCAAAGACUCAGUGCUGAAAAAGAACCCAGGAGAGAGCAGCUAACUGUAAGUUAUUCAUCACCCAUGACACAGAUGAAAUACCUAACAGCAACUUUUAUCUACUUUCUUCUUUAUUAAAAGUAUCCCUGGCUAGUG